CUAUGUUGCCCAAGCUGGUCUUGAACUCCUGGCUUCAAGCAAUCCUCCUGCCUUGGCCUCCCAAAGUGCUGAGAUUACAGGAGAGAGCCACUGCCCCUGGAACUUAAAUUACUUCCAAGUGAAUCCUCACUUUGGGCUCUGCUUCUAGACCCUGACUCAAGAUAGAAAGGAAGGAGAAAUGAACCAUGAACAAUUCCAGAGAUUUUGAGACAUGGCAAUUGGACUUUCUGUCAGGGUAAACAUCACAGGUUGGACCAUAUAUUAUGGGAGCACCUUUUGCAAGGAUGAAAUAUUCAGUCUGGGAGUGGCAGCAGAAUGCAAACCAUCCAGGGAAUUAUUCUGGUAGUGCCUGAUGGAUUUAAAUAAUACCAAGAGAAAGACUGCAGAGGGUAUCCUGAGAUUUGCAUGACAUCCUGACCAGGGUUGAUAAGAAGAGCUAAAUGGGGUACUGAUGAGAUCUACUCUUCUGGGAAGAAGAAUUUUGACCAGAAGUUGUGAAAUGGCUCAGGGUUUAUCUGCAAGCAGAGGACCCUUACCAGACUGUAUUACUUCCCCAUGCUUUGUGACUCCCCAGCAGGGCUUUCUGCCAAGCCAUGGCAACUUGAGGUCAUUUGGCUUUGAAGUGCCACUCAGAAGACUUGUGGAAUCAAUACCCCUGAAGGUGAUGCUCAACCAGUGAGGGAUGAGAUCCGGAUCCAGUAUAUAGUCCUCAGCAGAUUUAAAUCAUGGAUGCUUUAGAAUACUGCAAGCGUGUAAGCAAAGGAGAUGCUUUCCUGCAAUGGCUCACUUUUCUACCUUUGAUUGCGAAGUGGGGUGUGCAACACACUCUAGGAAGCCCCACCCCAAUCCAGUAACUUAAUCUGAGUCCUCCCUUCAUUCUGCAGAUCUGAGCUGUAUAUGAAAAGAGUCUAUGAAAUGCGCACUUUGAGGCCUGGUGAUCGAUGGAAUGGUCUUGCCAAGCUGAGGAGCAGGCUGAACUGAAGUCAUACAUUGGCAGUCAGGGUAGAUCCAAGGAGACCUUCUUCAGGACAGGGAGAGGAACUGCAUCAAAGCACAAGUUAGAGGGCCACGUGACCUUGGCCAAACUGAUCAACUUCUCUAAGCCUCAGUGACACUUUUGCUAAAUGGAAAUAACAAUAAUAUCUACCUUGAAACCCGGAGACGCAGCUGCUACCAUCAUUUUCAUUUUACAGCUUACAAUGUAAAUGGGCAGAGUGUGUCCCAGCAGCCAGAGUCAGAGAGUCUCCAGGCAAAGAAUCUCAGGAGCUGGCUGGCUCUAUUACCAACCAUGGAAAUGCAACUCUCAGAAAAAAGAGUCUAUGUCCCUGACCCCAGAAUCUGGCUUGACUUUGCGACUUGCUUUCACCAAUCAAAUGCAGAAGAAGUGAAGUCUGGUCCUCAGGAGGUUUUGUACUCCUCUGCUGACUCUCCUGGGAUGCUAACAAUGCCAUGAGUCCUAGUUACGACUAACUUACAUGGCCUAGUCACCUCCAUUGUCCAAGCCAAUAGGUACCCAGCCAUCACACCUACAGUGAGGCCAUUUCAGUCUCCAGCUGAUCUGCUGUGGAUGAGCAUGGCCAAGAUCAACUGAGUUUGGCUCAGAUGAGCAAGACUACCUGGAUAACCUACAAUCUUGUUGGGCCAAGAAGACAUAUGUACAUAGAAAUCUUUGAACUUUGCUGAUAAGAGGAAGCCUAGAAUUCCAAGCCAACUCCUUCAUUGAAUAGAUGAGGAAAAUAAAGCCAAGAGAAAAUGAUAGGCUUGACAAAGUCAAAAUAACCAGAUCCAGAUUGUCUGACUUCUAGCCCAGUGGCCUUCCAGGAGAGCAGGAGAUGUUGUGAGGAACACAACGUCUCCUGUGACACAGGACACAAUGUCAGAAAUCAGCACCCAUUUUCCUUCUUCUGUUAACAGUUCUUUGGCUUUCUUUUGGGAAGUCAUGCUUGCUCAACAGUGGAGAAAUGGAGGCACUCAAGGAUCAAGCAUUUUCCCAGGGCCGUAUAGUUAAUGUAGCACUUAGAAGACUGGGCAUCUUUUUCAAUGCCACAUAGCAGCACAGCUAGGAGCUGAACCAGGCAGUCUGGUGCUACAGGCCAUACAUUUUGACAUUGUUUUGUUGCCUCUUGACAAAGUCCAUGGACUGUGAUCCUGGGACCAACAGCAUCAGCAUCAACUGGGAACUUCUUAGAAAUUCAAAUUCUUGGGGCUAUUCCCCAAAUUUCUGGGUCAGAAGCUCUGGGGAUGGGGCCCAGCAAGCUAUGUGUUAACAGACUUUUUAGAUCAGGGGCUCCCCCCAGCUCCCAGGCCAAGAACCAGUACCAGUCUGUGGCCUGUUAGGAACCAGGCUGUACAGCAAGAGGUGAGGAUUACUGCCUGAGCUCUGCCUCCUAUCAGAUCAGUGGUGGCAUGGCAUUAGAUUCUCACAGGAGCAAGAACCAUAUUGUGAACUGCACACACAAGGGAUCUAGGUUGCGUGCUCCUUAUAAGCAUCUAAUGCCUGAUGACCUGAGCUGGAACGAUUUCAUCCUGAAACCAUCUCCCCCUUCCCCCAACCCCGUCCGUGAAAAAAUUGUCUUCUAUGAAACUGGGCCCUGGUGCCAAAAACAUUGGGGGUGGCUGUUUCAGAUUAUUCUUACUCAGGAUAAAGUUUGAGAUCACCUGCCCUAGCUCCUUAAAUUUAAGCUAUAAUUCAUAAAUUGGGUUCUUACGGUGCAUUAGAAUAAUGCAUUGAAUAGGUGAUUUUUGGAUGACUCCUAUGUGCU
Long non-coding RNA from Symphalangus syndactylus (siamang), 2762 nucleotides. RefSeq lists it as uncharacterized. NCBI's taxonomy places the organism in Eukaryota, Metazoa, Chordata, Mammalia, Primates, Hylobatidae. The record is from RefSeq and is a predicted model, not a curated record.